AGGUGGGCACUCCUGAAGCUGCAGAGCGGAAGAGACCACCAACACUGCCCAUGCCUGCCCACAUCCCUGGCCCAAGAGGAAACUGUAUAAGGCCUCUGGGUUCCCGUGGGGGAGGGCCCAGGAGCGGCAGGACCGCUGCGUCUGAGACACUGCCGGAACCUGAAGGAAACAGACGGGAUAAACAAUUCUCUGCACCCAAAUCCCGUGGGAGGGAGAGCGAAACCUUCAGAGAGGCAGACAAGCCUGGGAAACCAGAAGAGACUGCACUCUGCACACACAUCUCGGACGCCAGAGGAAAACACCAAACGCCAUCUGGAACCCUGGUGCACUGAAGCUCCUGGAAACGGCAGUACAGAUCUUCAUGGUUGUUGCCACCGCAGAGAGCUCGUGGGCAGCACCCCGCGGGCGAACUUGAGCCUUGGAACCAACUUUUCUGCUGCAAGUGACCUGACUGGUGAACUCAAGACACAGGCCCACAGGAACAGCUGAAGACCUGUAGAGAGGAUAAACUACACGCCCGAAAGCAGAACACUCUGUCCCCAUAACUGGCUGAAAGAAAACAGGAAAA
Molecule: long non-coding RNA, 568 nt
Filed under: Rattus norvegicus (Norway rat)
Lineage: Eukaryota; Metazoa; Chordata; Mammalia; Rodentia; Muridae
Description: long non-coding RNA NONRATT030997
Source: RNAcentral